UGGUUCUGGCAUCGAUGAAGAACGCAGCGAAAUGCGAUAAGUAAUGCGAAUUGCAGAAUUCCAGUGAGUCAUCGAAUCUUUGAACGCACAUUGCGCCCUUUGGUAUUCCGAAGGGCAUGCCUGUUCGAGCGUCAUUAUCACCCCUCAAGCCCCGUGCUUGGUGUUGGACGGCUGGUCGAGGCCCCCCUCGACCCCUCCUAAUGAUAAAGACGGCGACCUGUGGUUCCCCCGGUACACUGAGCUUUCCAUCGAGCACGUAUUGGACAAGGGCGCCCAGGACCCGGUCUUCUCCUCUCGCGAGGAAAUUUUUCGCAAGGUUGACCUCGGAUCAGGUAGGAAUACGCGCUGA
Molecule: unclassified non-coding RNA, 349 nt
Filed under: uncultured fungus
Lineage: Eukaryota; Fungi
Description: partial contains 5.8S ribosomal RNA and internal transcribed spacer 2
Rfam family: 5.8S ribosomal RNA (bases 1-134)
Source: RNAcentral